GAUGAACGCUGGCGGCGUGCCUAAUACAUGCAAGUCGAGCGAACGGACGAGAAGCUUGCUUUUCUGAUGUUAGCGGCGGACGGGUGAGUAACACGUGGAUAACCUACCUAUAAGACUGGGAUAACUUCGGGAAACCGGAGCUAAUAUCGGAUAAUAUUUUGAACCGCGUGGUUCAAAAGUGAAAGACGGUCUUGCUGUCACUUAUAGAUGGAUCCGCGCUGCAUUAGCUAGUUGGUAAGGUAACGGCUUACCAAGGCAACGAUGCAUAGCCGACCUGAGAGGGUGAUCGGCCACACUGGAACUGAGACACGGUCCAGACUCCUACGGGAGGCAGCAGUAGGGAAUCUUCCGCAAUGGGCGAAAGCCUGACGGAGCAACGCCGCGUGAGUGAUGAAGGUCUUCGGAUCGUAAAACUCUGUUAUUAGGGAAGAACAUAUGUGUAAGUAACUGUGCACAUCUUGACGGUACCUAAUCAGAAAGCCACGGCUAACUACGUG
This 497-nucleotide ribosomal RNA is filed under the name uncultured bacterium. RNAcentral's name for it is "partial 16S ribosomal RNA". It matches the Rfam family "Bacterial small subunit ribosomal RNA", at positions 28 to 507 of the family's 1533-position model. The record is from RNAcentral.